AAUUUCUCUUAAUAUGAGGAUGAACCCCUAUGCUAAGCCUCUGUGAGGAAAUAUGCCUCCUUCAUAUGUUGUGACUCAGCAAAUUAAUUAUAUUUCCAUAAAAUGGAGAAGGCAAUGGUAUAGAAAGACAAUAAAUUAAGUCCUGCUCUGGAUAUGUCAUCCUUGAUGGAAUACGUUUUUAAUUUUAUUUAUAUAUUGUUAAAUAGAGUUUUUUUGCUUUAAGCAUUGCAUCACUUGCUCAGAAUGAAGAUUAUGGGAACUGAGACUUUACUGACAUCAACUACAGUAAUAUAAACCAUCUACAUUUAUGAAAGAAGAAAGACAUCAAAGACAGCACUGUGGUGCCUUUCAUCAAUGAUAAAGACCAUCUGAUACUAUACAGGAACACCAGUGUCAGAGUAUGUGUGACAAUCUGAAAAGUAAUUGGGCAACUUUAUGCAGAGCCGAGACUCACCUCAAAAGGGAGCAGGCUCCAUUUUGAUUCUGCUUUCUCUCUGACAGCAUGCAGGUAGGAAGAAUUGGGGAGCAGCUGGGGGUGGAGAUGAGGCUCUCUUUGCUCAUCCUGUGCUGGGUUCAGAGUGGCAUUGGCCAGCACUACACAGGAACAUGCUGGGCUGUGAUGGAUUUUACAUUCUUUGUUUUAUAGGACACUAAACCGAAAUUUUUCAAAAUGAAAGUGCUCAAUGAUCCUUGGGAUGAAUGAGCAGCCUUGCUCUCUGGCAUGGGUGCAUUUUCCAGGAUGGCUGAAGUGUCACUGCAGAAAACAAUCACUUGGCUUGUGCCCUGUGGCAGGCAGUGGUUUUCAACCAGGAGUAAGACAACUGUCAGAGUAAAGCUGAAAAUGAUCUUGAACUGAACAAAAGUUGAUUUGGUUGCCAGGCUUAGAAGUAGGGGUUUCAGGUCACAAAAAGAGAUGCUUUCAAGAAAUUCCCUGUCAGAAUUGUAAAUAGUGACACAUCAGGUUGUCAGUGGUCAGGACAUUCUUGUGUGUGUGUAAAUAACAAGAAGAACAUCCCUGGUACUCAGUGCUUAAACAAAGAUUAAAAGUCAUAAGGAUGUCAAACAAUACCAACUGUGUUGCCUUCUGUGUACCUGUACCUAAUGGCUUAUCUGGACACUGUUCUCAGGAAUCCUCACACUUCAGAAGAUAAAAUGAUUUAUUUUGUUCUCAGCAAAGACUUAAAUUGCUUCUUCUUCAAGUCUUUAAUACACAGAGCAAGUUUUGAAAACAUCAAUUUUCUUUAAGUUAGGGAACAGCCUCUCAACAGUGAAGGAAAAUGUGUAUUUUAGCUAAAGUAACAUAAUAUUCAGCUGGAAUCCUUAAUUGCAGAUACAGUAGGACAGAUGCAUCGCCAGCAAAACUAUAAUUCUCUCCCUACUCAAUAUUUUGAGCCCAAACUGAACCUUCUCCUGUAAAUGUAACUAUUUCCAUAUAAAAUAUUCUAUGAGACCAAAUUCUACAUUUGUUCAUUAGAGCAAAUAAAAUUGCAGAAAUGUUUUAUUCGUUGUUUUCUUUUAAUGCUGUGUUUCACCAUGUAAGUGUCCUAGAAAUCCACUGAUAAUUCACUGAGACGAUCCACCCGGAAAGACUUUGAUCUCUAAACAUGACAAGAAAAAUCAUGGUUACUUCAGUCUUCCCAGUGCCACACCCUGUACAUGUCCAUUACUGUAGACGUUUUUGUAAGAAAUGGUUUUGGGGGCUUGAAUAGGAAAAGGUUAGUUGGAUCCUAGUUCCACAAUGUGCUUAAUUACAUCUAUUAUUGUGGGCCUGCUGAUUGAGAUGGGAUCAAAGUCAUCAGCUUAAAUCAAGCCUGUGCUUUGGAGCAAAACUCUGUGAGAUCAUCUCCUACCCAUCCCGCAUCCAAAGCUUUAAGAUUUAAACACAUGGCUUUAUGAAAUGGCUGCAUCAUAAUUUUCCAAGGUGAGUGUAAAGUAGAUUGAGUUGGCAAUAUACCAAAUUAGUUUAGAAGAUUACAUAAACAAUAGUCUAGACAGAGCUGCAGAUUUUUGUCUCCUGCUACACUCAUAUAUCUAGUGUUCUCCGCAGGAACUUUUUAUCUCUCCUACUCAAUCUAUUUCAUGAAAAAUGUACUUGAAAUAACACUAAGGUUUGCAUUUCCCAAUGCUUCCUACUCCUCUUCACAGCCUAGUGAUAAUGAAGAGGAAGUUUUGUUCUGGGCUGUUUCUCAGCUUCUAGAGCACCCACAUAACAGACACGUGUGAAAAUGACUCAAAAAGUGAUGAACAAAAUCUCACUACAUCUGCAUUUUGCUCCUAAUGGCACAUUUUUAUUCAUUUUUCAAGCUGCAACAACCAUUUCAGUCUUGAGAUCAUUACAGCCCUUUAAAUAUUCUAAACAAGGGCGAGUUUUACAGUAUUCAUAUUGUUCAUUUAGCCACAAGUAGUUAAAAUUUUUUUUUUAACUUAUGACAAGAUGCUAGCUCAGAAAGAACUAUCAAAUUAAUGUAUUGUAAGAAAAAAUAUUUAACAAGCAUCAACCCCAGGCCAAAUCAGCAAAAAAAGGGAAACAGUCCAGUUUUCCCACUAAAGUGAACAACUGUUAACAUUUUGGAGGGUGAACCGAUGUGUGUGCAGAUGUGCAGCAUUUGUGUGGGAGAGGUCACUACUAAUCUCCAAAACUUCGAGUCUGGCUUCUGUUGUAAAUCUUUCUUGAUGCUUUGGACAUCUUUAAGUCUUCUGGCAUGCAAAAUCGUCUGUGCUGUGCUGAUCAGCUGCUCACUUUGACUGCAAGGACAGGAACAAUGAGUAUUGUCCUUUGACUGCAGCACUUCUGUUUUCUCAGUCCAAAAUAAUGGAUUUUGUUCAUGUUGCACCCUUGCAGGAGUUACUUGACCUUGCAGGAUGUAAAUGAACAUCCAGGUACAAGUCUCCAUGUCCUCUCAUUUUUCUGGCCUCUAUAUUCUCUUACCAUUUUCUGCCUCUUAAUUUUUCACAGCUCAGUUUUAUGAAAUGCCUUACUGCUUCCCACACGUCUCAUUUCUACAUUUGCUUAGCCUCUACAUAUCCUUCUUAUCCUCUCCAUGUUGUUCUUUUGCCCUUUGCUUCUCACUUACCCAUCUGGCACAGCACUUGGACCAAUGGCUUCCUAAAGCUUGGAUAAACAAGCAAGGCAGAAUUUUUCCCAGUGUUUUCUCUGUGUCAGUAGAUUAGGAAGUGAAAGUGCCUUUUUUAACUGGUAGUGAGUGCUGAACCACACCUGAUCUUGUCAAAAACACCACUAAUAUGAUGCAUUUCACACAGAACUGACUGAAGGUUCACAUCUUCCUUCCUUCCCUCAUCUGAAUGAUAGUAAAACCAUUCAAAUUUUUGGUUUGUGACCUGGAAAUUCAGAUAAGCCACCAACUCACAAAGGAAAAAUGUCUUCCUGACCAUGUGACAGCUGAAAAUUUUUAAUAAAAAAACAACAUCAUGCUGAACAUACUGAAGUUGUGACGGUGGUGGUGGUUGGAAAGGAGUUUGGGUAGGUUGCUGUUUUCAUAACAGGCAGCUUAAAAAGUCCUGGAUACUUGUGUGGUGUAGAAUCACAGAUGAUGAAAUUUUACAUCUCCAUCCAUCCUGACAUGUUUUGAAUAAAUUUUAGGAUCUAUCAAAUGGUAGUCUUUGAUGGAAACCUAGAAAGGUAUUUUCAUGCAAGUUAGGUAACAUAGGAGACUUAAAUAAAGCCCUUGAGAAGGUAGUGCAAAGUUUCUGACACUUCUAGAGAGUGUUCUGGAGCAGAACUAACAAGCAGAUACUCCUGUUGUCCUCCUCAGGUUUCCAUACCUCUCCAAAGACCCCAAAUGGAAACCAGGAAGGCUGCAUUCCUAAGUCAGGUGCCUGAACUUGGUGGCCUACUGCCAGGGACAGCUUUUCCCUUAUUUUCUCCGAGAAGUCUUGGAACAUCUUAGAGAUGUUCCAACAUCUCCGAGAACAUCUUGGAAGCAGUGCAUGAGGAAGCAAACUAAAGAGCAAGAGGGCAGCAUGUUGAUGUAUUUAAAUGGGAAAGAGAAAAAGCAUGGAUGCUUUUUGUAGCUCAAGUGCUGGAAAAAUCUCAGACAGUGAAGAGGAGAAGCUAGACAAAGCAUUUUCAGCCUUCUGGUAGUUUCAGGGUAAAAUGACUGCUGUUAAGAUGUUGUAUUAUAAUAUCUAGGUCCAUUAAACAGAUUAACAUAUGAACAUAACCUAAGGAUGUGAACAUAACCUAAGGGUGAUGAUAUGAAUAUGCAAAUGGUUGCUGGCUGUCUACAAGGCAUCAGGGUUAGGAUCUGUGGAAAUCUGAACUUCCAACAAGGAACUCAGUUUAAGGGUCUGGGAUAAUAUUAUUCUCAGAUUUAUCUGCAAAACCAUGGGUAGCAUAAGCAAAGUCUUAUCCAAGAAAACUCAGUGUAGGGGUCACCUUAUACCCACAAAGUUAUCAGCUAAACUACUAGAUGAUCUGAAAGAAUGAGGUCAUACAGAGCUCUUGGGAGCUGACUAACCUUUAACUUGUCAUGAAGAAUAACUCUUCUUCAUUUAGUUGUUCUUUCUUAGAUUAUCCUACCUUUAAAAUCCACUGCCUUCUCAGCUUUGUUCUGCAGUGCAAAAAUAGCAGUGGUAACUGAUUUGCAGCCAAGGUGAUUUUUUUCUGUUUGAAUUUUUUUUGCCAUUUCAUAAUGCUUUUUGUGAAUUCCAGAAUUCCAGAAUUAGCAGUGGCAAAAUAAAUAGGAAAUUUCACUUGGACAGCAGCAUCAGAAAACACACACACACACA
Taeniopygia guttata (zebra finch) is the source of this 4749-nucleotide long non-coding RNA. The record is from Ensembl. NCBI's taxonomy places the organism in Eukaryota, Metazoa, Chordata, Aves, Passeriformes, Estrildidae.